CCACUAUCAUCAGUCACAUAAUUGUCCGCAACAACUCUAAAUGCCGUGUCAGAGAGGUCUGAGAAGUAAUUAAACAAUGGUUCAUACUUUUUCUUCACCAGUUCAUUACCCUUGACUUCUUGACUUUCUCUAACAACUCGUAUGAAUCCUUCAAGUUUUCAGAUUUCCCACCCCUAGUUUUAGAACUUGAUGUCUUCGGAUCACCAGCAGGUCCAUUUGCUACACUUGAUUUUGGUUUCUCAACAGGAAGAGCUGACAGCCUAGAUUCGGCAACUACAUAGACUCUUCCAGUAUACUUGUUACGAACCUUGACAUAGUCAAAAUUUCCAUUAACACAAAGCGCAAGAUUACUAGGAAGCGUCCACGGGGUUGUUGUCCAGGCUACAAAGGAUGCAUUAUGGGGAUCAUCAAUAAUUGGAAAUGCCAUCAUUAUCUCAGGGUCAGGCACAUCCUUAUAAUUUUGACCAGCUUCAAAAUUAGACAGCACAGUUUUGCAACCAGUACUGUAUGGCAUGACCUUGAAACCCUUAUAGACAAGACCCUUCUCAUAAAGCUGAGAGAAAACCCACCAAACACUCUCCAUGAACUUCAAGUCCAUAGUCUUAUAAUCAUUCCUGAAAUCGAUCCACCUCCCCGUCCUUGUGAUCACCUUCUCCCACUCCUCAACAUACCUCGUCACAAUACUCCUACACUCAUCAUUAUACUUAUCAAUCCCCAUUUUCAACACCUCGUCUCUCCUUUUAAUCCCCAAUUUCCUAUCGAUCUCAUUCUCCACAGGCAGACCAUGGCAAUCCCAGCCGAAGCGGCGAGUAACAUGGUGGCCCCUCAUGGUCUGGUAGCGGGUGACAAUGUCCUUAAUAGUUCCGGCGAGUAUGUGGCCGUAGUGAGGGAGGCCGGUGGCAAAAGGAGGACCAUCAUAGAAAAUGUAUUCGGGGAGGGAUUCAGUACGGGCCAAUUGGGUCUCGAAGGCUUUAAUUUCAGACCAGAAAGAAAGGAUCUUUUCCUCCUGGCCGGGGAAGGAAAAGUCCUUUCCCUCGCAGACUUCCUCCAUUGAGCGAUGGAGGGAAAGGAAAUGAGAGAGUAGGGUUUUUGAGAGAGAAGAUGGUGGCGGAAAGAAACGAAGAGCCUGUCCUAUGAGGAAAAGGGUUUAAAGAGUACGGGUUC
Molecule: unclassified non-coding RNA, 1164 nt
Filed under: Hevea brasiliensis (rubber tree)
Lineage: Eukaryota; Viridiplantae; Streptophyta; Magnoliopsida; Malpighiales; Euphorbiaceae
Source: RNAcentral